This 448-nucleotide ribosomal RNA is filed under the name uncultured bacterium. RNAcentral's name for it is "partial 16S ribosomal RNA". It matches the Rfam family "Bacterial small subunit ribosomal RNA", at positions 29 to 526 of the family's 1533-position model. The record is from RNAcentral.
AACGAACGCUGGCGGCAUGCCUAACACAUGCAAAUCGAACGAGAUCUUCGGGUCUAGUGGCGCACGGGUGCGUAACGCGUGGGAAUCUGCCCUUUGGUUCGGAAUAACAGUUGGAAACGACUGCUAAUACCGGAUGAUGACGAAAGUCCAAAGAUUUAUCGCCAGAGGAUGAGCCCGCGUAGGAUUAGCUCGUUGGUGUGGUAAAGGCGCACCAAGGCGACGAUCCUUAGCUGGUCUGGGAGGAUGAUCAGCCACACGGGGACUGAGACACGGCCCAGACUCCUAGGGAAGGCAGCGGGGGGAAAUAUUGAAAAAUGGCCAAAACCCUAAUCCAGCAAGGCCGCGUGAGUAAGAAGGCCCUAAGGGUGGAAAAGCUCUUUACCCGGGAUGAUAAUGACAGUACCGGGAGAAUAAGCUCCGGCUAACUCCGUGCCAGCCGCGGUAAAAC